AACGUAGGUGGCAAGCGUUAUCCGGAAUUACUGGGCGUAAAGGGUGUGCAGGCGGGGAUACAAGUGGGGGGUGAAAUCUCCCAGCUUAACUGGGAUAGGGUAUGCCAGACUGUAUUUCUAGAGGACGAGAGAGGGGGGUGGAAUUCCGGGUGUAGUGGUGAAAUGCGUAGAGAUCCCCAAGAACACCAGUUGCGAAGGCGGCUGACUGGACACAUAUUGACGCUGAGGCUCGAAAGCAUGGGGAGCAAACAGG
RNAcentral lists this ribosomal RNA (253 nucleotides) under uncultured bacterium. Its description in RNAcentral is "partial 16S ribosomal RNA". It matches the Rfam family "Bacterial small subunit ribosomal RNA", at positions 524 to 776 of the family's 1533-position model. The record is from RNAcentral.